CCCGCAACGAGCGCAACCCUUGUCACUAGUUGCCAUCAUUGUUGGCACUCUAGUGAGACUGCCGGUGACAAACCGGAGGAAGGUGGGGAUGACGUCAAGUCCUCAUGGCCCUUAUGGUAGGGCUUCACACGUCAUACAAUGGUCGGUACAGAGGGUUGCCAAGCCGCGAGGUGGAGCCAAUCCCUUAAAGCCGAUCGUAGUCCGGAUCGUAGUCUGCAACUCGACUACGUGAAGUCGGAAUCGCUAGUAAUCGCAGAUCAGCAUGCUGCGGUGAAUACGUUCCCGGGUCUU
Molecule: ribosomal RNA, 291 nt
Filed under: uncultured Thauera sp.
Lineage: Bacteria; Pseudomonadati; Pseudomonadota; Betaproteobacteria; Rhodocyclales; Zoogloeaceae
Description: partial 16S ribosomal RNA
Rfam family: Bacterial small subunit ribosomal RNA
Source: RNAcentral